ACACCAGACUCCUACGGGAGGCAGCAGUGGGGAAUAUUGGACAAUGGGGGGAACCCUGGUCCAGCGACGCCGCGUGAGUGAAGAAGUAUUUCGGUAUGUAAAGCUCUAUCAGCAGGGAAGAAAGAAAUGACGGUACCUGACUAAGAAGCCCCGGCUAACUACGUGCCAGCAGCCGCGGUAAUACGUAUGGUGCAAGCGUUAUCCGGAUUUACUGGGUGUAAAGGGAGCGCAGGCGGUUCUGCAAGUCUGAUGUGAAAGCCCGGGGCUCAACCGCGGGACUGCAUUGGAAACUGCGGGACUGGAGUGUCGGAGGGGUAAGCGGAAUUCCUGGUGUAGCGGUGAAAUGCGUAGAUAUCAGGAGGAACACCGGUGGCGAAGGCGGCUUACUGGACGAUGACUGACGCUGAGGCUCGAAAGCGUGGGGAGCAAACAGGAUUAGAUACCCCCGUA
This 450-nucleotide ribosomal RNA is filed under the name uncultured bacterium. Its description in RNAcentral is "bacterial SSU rRNA". It matches the Rfam family "Bacterial small subunit ribosomal RNA", at positions 328 to 792 of the family's 1533-position model. The record is from RNAcentral.